Molecule: long non-coding RNA, 324 nt
Filed under: Serinus canaria (Common canary)
Lineage: Eukaryota; Metazoa; Chordata; Aves; Passeriformes; Fringillidae
Description: lncRNA (ENSSCAG00000008437.1)
Source: RNAcentral
GUUUCUUUUUGUCACCAGAAGCUUCACUGGGAUCAGCUUCAUCUGGUUGGUUUUUGGGCAGAAGUUACUGAGAGUGGGAGAACUCAGAUCAAACGUUUCCUGAAGUGUGGUAGAAGGCAGGAAGAAUGACACUUGCUAAUUUGAAUUUCAGAAAGCACCUAAACUUCAUUCUGAUCUCCAGGAUGUAUAAAGUGGAAUGUUGCUCAGGAAUGGACAAAAACCAGACAAACUAUUGGAAAAAAUGUCAAAAGGAAAGGAAAUGGCCUUCUGGAGGAUGAGGAAGAUGAGCAACAAAGAGACUGUCCAACAAUGUGAAAGAUCCAG